UACAGAGGGGGCAAGCGUUAUUCGGAAUUACUGGGCGUAAAGGGCGCGUAGGCGGAAUGGCAAGUCGGUCGUGAAAUCCUUCGGCUCAACCGAAGAACGUCGAUCGAAACUGCCGUUCUUGAGGAUUGCAGAGGAGACUGGAAUUCCCGGUGUAGCGGUGAAAUGUGUAGAGAUCGGGAGGAACACCGGUGGCGAAGGCGGGUCUCUGGGCAAUUCCUGACGCUGAGGCGCGAAAGCGUGGGGAGCAAACGGG
Molecule: ribosomal RNA, 253 nt
Filed under: uncultured bacterium
Lineage: Bacteria
Description: partial 16S ribosomal RNA
Rfam family: Bacterial small subunit ribosomal RNA
Source: RNAcentral